CUUCAGCGAGCCCAGCCACAACGGUCCCUCCGCGUCGCGGUCCCGCCCGUAGGUCGCCAGCAACGCCUGCGCCUC
Molecule: antisense RNA, 75 nt
Filed under: Micromonospora nigra
Lineage: Bacteria; Bacillati; Actinomycetota; Actinomycetes; Micromonosporales; Micromonosporaceae
Description: ASpks TB sRNA
Rfam family: ASpks TB sRNA
Source: Rfam by way of RNAcentral